GGCCCGCACCCCGCACGCGCCCUAAAAUAUCCCAAAGCCCCCCUCCGCCCCCUCCCGAAGCCGAAAUCCCCCAAUUCCCCUCUCUCUCUCCCCUCUCCCCAUCGCCCCCCUCCCGCACCCGAGCACGAGAGAAUCCGAGGAGAGGAGCGGCGCAAGGAGGCGGAGAUGGAGUCGGAUCAGGGCAAGCUCUUCAUCGGCGGCAUCUCCUGGGAGACGACGGAGGAGAAGCUGCAGGAGCACUUCUCCAACUUCGGCGAGGUCUCCCAGGCCGCCGUCAUGCGCGACAAGCUCACCGGCCGCCCGCGGGGCUUCGGCUUCGUAGUCUACGCCGACCCCGCCGCCGUCGACGCCGCCCUCCAGGAGCCCCACACCCUCGACGGCCGCACGGUCGAUGUGAAGCGGGCGCUCUCGCGGGAGGAGCAGCAGGCUACCAAGGCGGUGAACCCUAGCGCAGGAAGGAACGCUGGAGGUGGAGGGGGUGGCGGCGGCGGCGGCGGCGAUGCCGGUGGUGCUAGGACAAAGAAGAUCUUUGUGGGCGGGCUGCCCUCCAGUCUGACAGAUGAGGAGUUCCGGCAGUACUUCCAGACCUUCGGAGCUGUCACUGAUGUUGUGGUGAUGUAUGACCAGACAACACAGCGCCCCCGGGGCUUCGGCUUCAUUACCUUUGACUCGGAGGAUGCGGUUGACCGUGUGCUGCACAAAACCUUCCACGAUCUUGGAGGGAAGAUGGUAGAGGUGAAGCGUGCUCUGCCUCGAGAGGCGAAUCCUGGCUCGGGUGGCGGCGGACGUUCCAUGGGAGGUGGGGGUUUUCAUAGUAACAAUGGACCCAACUCCAAUGCUAGCAGCUAUGAUGGCAGAGGCGAUGCUAGCAGAUAUGGGCAGGUGCAGCAAGGCAGUGGUGGCUACCCAGGUUAUGGUGCUGGAGCUUAUGGCAGUGCUCCAACUGGAUAUGGAUAUGGGCACACCAAUCCUGGAACUACAUAUGGAAAUUAUGGGUCUGCAGGGUAUGGAGGUGUUCCUGCUGCGUAUGCUGGGGCUUAUGGCAAUCCAAGUGCUGCUGCUUCCGGUUACCAGGGUGGCCCUCCAGGCGCUAAUAGAGGACCCUGGGGCAGUCAAGCUCCGUCUGGUUAUGGCACUGGGGGUUAUGCUGGCAAUGCAGGCUAUGGUGCAUGGAAUAGCUCUUCUGCUGGUGGGAAUGCACCUACUAGUCAGGCACCUGGUGCAGCUGCAGGUUAUGGGAACCAGGGCUAUGGUUAUGGUGGAUAUGGAGGAGAUGCAUCAUAUGGUAAUCAUGGAGGGUAUGGUGCUUAUGGUGGUCGGGGAGAUGGUGCUGGAAAUCCUGCUACUGGUGCAGCCUCUGGGUAUGGUGCUGCUGGAUAUGGAAGUGGGAAUGGAAACUCUGGAUAUCCAAAUGCGUGGACUGAUCCUUCACAAGGCGGAGGAUUUGGUGGUGCAGUCAAUGGAGCUUCUGAGGGCCAAUCAAAUUAUGGCAGCGGUUAUGGUGGUAUGCAGCCUAGGGUUGCUCAGUAGAAGAGGCUGUUGUAAUGUUCAUGGUGUGAACCAGUGCAUUUGGGCAGCAUAUGUAUUAUUGCAGUAUUCUGGCUUUGCUCUCGUCUUCCUGAAGGCCAUCCAUUCUGCCGGUUAAAUCAGUAUUUCUCCUGGUUGCACGUGACGCCAUUCUGUGUAAAGAAUGUCCAAGUGAGGGUGAAAAUGAUAUCGGAAAUCUGCUGGUUUUGCUUGAUGAGCUGAUGAGAAGUUGCGAUUUGAAGCAUUGGCACAGAAUGCAAGCUACUAGCUUUUUAUGUGCUUCAUGUUCUCGAGGAUCUUGCUGUGCUGCAAGGUGGUGGUGCAUUGACCCAAAAGUACAUUAAGCUGGAGACGUGGAGUUUUCACUUUCACAUAUGAAGAUCGCCGCUCGACCCCUAACGAACUCUAUCCAGAACAAACAACGCUCUCAUCGAUCGGCAGAGAUAUGAGUCUGAUUUACUGUCAAAGAUGGGAAGGUUGCGAGACUUAAUGGUAUUAUUAUGCUAGUAUAGCUGUGCCAUCAGACAUCCAACAUUUUCUCUCUUAUGUAUUUUGGACACUUUGCAAUAGUCUAAACUAACUACUGCAGUUAUUCAAUUGAAAAAUUCAAGUUUCAAGUUU
This 2148-nucleotide ribosomal RNA is filed under the name Triticum aestivum (bread wheat). Its description in RNAcentral is "partial small subunit ribosomal RNA". Lineage: Eukaryota; Viridiplantae; Streptophyta; Magnoliopsida; Poales; Poaceae. The record is from RNAcentral.